AGGUGUUGAGAGAGCAUUUUCCAUGCGUUUCUCCUGUUUCUGCACAUCUUGUGAGCAGACGCAUGACUGCCUUUCUUCUGCACUAUCUUUUCAAGGAUAUGUGGUGAACAGCUUUGGAAAACAGAGACAGAGUUCCUCCAGAGCAAAGGGCAGGUUUAUUUACUGUCCAGUACAAUAAAGAUAGCGCCAUCCUCCACAGCAAAAAUGAAGCAGACUUACUGUCCAUUAGAAAAGAUCUGGGCGCCCUAAGCUCAGGGCUCCUCUCCCAUAAUCCAUUGUGGACGCAGGUGUCACUUGGCCCGUUUCACACCACCCUUGGGGACUGGGACUCAGAAACUGGUAUAAAUGCUGAGAUUCUACUAUUGCUAUGAGUAACUAAGUCCUUCGUCUCUGACUCAGAAGGCUCCUAUCCUUUGCCAGCAGCCACCAAACUGAUUAUUUUGGAAGUAGGCUAAAUUUCAGACUCUUCACAAUUCUUGACAGGAAGUUUACCACCCCUGGCCGAGAAGCCACGAGGGCAAGUAUCAUCUUACAAAGCACCUGCUUCAGGUGAGACCUCCACGUCACCUUGGGGCAAGGGGAGGCUACGAAAGCACCGAGAGGGCCAGGGUUCAUUGUGGAAUAAUUAAAACACGCACAAAAGCAAAGAGAAAAAGGAAAAUCAACCCCUAUGAGCGCAUCACUCAGCUGCGGUCAUGAUUAACUCAACCACUCUCGUUUCGCCCACACACUCCCCGGAUCCCUGGAUUAGUUAGACCGUAUCACUGUGGUGCUCUUCUAAAAGUAUCGAUUCCUAAGCUACUCCCUCUGAAUUUUCUGAUUCAGUAAGUCAGGACUGGGGUCUGAGAAUCUGUAUGUUUUUAUCAGUUCCUCGGGUUUCGGAAGCUAUAGUAUAAACAAACGAACACGGGUUCUACAGCAGGCAGGUCCUAGUAUGAGUCCUGGCUUUGCCCAAGCUAUGCAACUCUGGGUGAAAAUUCACAGUUUUCAGACUUUUUGUCUCGAAGAACCACCACCUCUGUCAACCUGUGGUCUACUGAGACCGUCUGAUCCUUUUCACAUUAAAUAAAUGUGAUCAAACCUAGUA
Long non-coding RNA from Herpailurus yagouaroundi (jaguarundi), 1087 nucleotides. RefSeq lists it as uncharacterized. The transcript has 3 exons. NCBI's taxonomy places the organism in Eukaryota, Metazoa, Chordata, Mammalia, Carnivora, Felidae. The record is from RefSeq and is a predicted model, not a curated record.